CACGUAGGGCGCAAGCGUUGUCCGGAAUUAUUGGGCGUAAAAAGCUCGUAGGCGGUCUGUUGCGUCCGCUGUGAAAGUCGGGGGCUCAACCCUCGGAUGCCGGUGGAUACUGUCGGGCUAGAGUGCGGGAGAGGCGAGUGGAAUUCCUGGUGUAGCGGUGAAAUGCGCAGAUAUCAGGAGGAACACCAAUUGCGAAGGCAGCUCGCUGGAACGUUACUGACGCUGAGACGCGAAAGCGUGGGGAGCAAACAGG
Molecule: ribosomal RNA, 253 nt
Filed under: uncultured bacterium
Lineage: Bacteria
Description: partial 16S ribosomal RNA
Rfam family: Bacterial small subunit ribosomal RNA
Source: RNAcentral